UACGUAGGGAGCGAGCGUUGUCCGGAAUUACUGGGCGUAAAGGGCGUGUAGGCGGCAUGGCAAGUCAGAUGUGAAAUCCCCGGGCUUAACUCGGGUGGUGCAUUUGAAACUGCUGUGCUUGAGUGCAGGAGAGGAAAGCGGAAUUCCUAGUGUAGCGGUGAAAUGCGUAGAUAUUAGGAGGAACACCAGUGGCGAAGGCGGCUUUCUGGACUGUAACUGACGCUGAGGCACGAAAGCGUGGGGAGCAAACAGG
Molecule: ribosomal RNA, 253 nt
Filed under: uncultured bacterium
Lineage: Bacteria
Description: partial 16S ribosomal RNA
Rfam family: Bacterial small subunit ribosomal RNA
Source: RNAcentral